Molecule: ribosomal RNA, 423 nt
Filed under: uncultured bacterium
Lineage: Bacteria
Description: bacterial SSU rRNA
Rfam family: Bacterial small subunit ribosomal RNA
Source: RNAcentral
AUCUUCCGCAAUGGACGAAAGUCUGACGGAGCAACGCCGCGUGAGUGAUGAAGGCUUUCGGGUCGUAAAACUCUGUUGUUAUGGAAGAACACGUGCUAGUUGAAUAAGCUGUCACCUUGACGGUACCUAACCAGAAAGACACGGCUAAUUACGGGCAAGCAGCCGCGGUAAUACGUAGGUGGCAAGCGUUAUCCGGAAUUAUUGGGCGUAAAGCGCGCGCAGGUGGUUUCUUAAGUCUGAUGUGAAAGCCCACGGCUCAACCGUGGAGGGUCAUUGGAAACUGGGAGACUUGAGUGCAGAAGAGGAAAGUGGAAUUCCAUGUGUAGCGGUGAAAUGCGUAGAGAUAUGGAGGAACACCAGUGGCGAAGGCGACUUUCUGGUCUGUAACUGACUCUGAGGCGCGAAAGCGUGGGGAGCAAACAG